GCGUUCGUUGGUUGGAAACCUGCCGCGCCGGAUUGUGGAUCCGGAGGUCGGCGGUUCAAGUCCGCUUGGCCACCC
This 75-nucleotide transfer RNA is filed under the name Planctomycetia bacterium. RNAcentral's name for it is "tRNA-His". Lineage: Bacteria; Pseudomonadati; Planctomycetota; Planctomycetia. The record is from RNAcentral.